RNAcentral lists this long non-coding RNA (421 nucleotides) under Homo sapiens (human). RNAcentral describes it as "LHRI_LNC1156.1". The record is from RNAcentral. Lineage: Eukaryota; Metazoa; Chordata; Mammalia; Primates; Hominidae.
AACCCGGGCGUCAGGGCUGCCAGCGCGUUCCCAGAACCCUGGCGUCCACCCCCACCCUGUCCUGUCACCACCGCCUGCCUCCCCCACCGACUGCCCCACGCGACCCCAGAGUGCCAAGGGCCGGCUCCAUGUCUCUUCUCCCCGGCGCCUGCAAGUCCUGCGCCCCGUCCCCGCUCUCAUGAAGCCGUGACAGAGCCGGCCGUCUCCACCCCGCUGUAGCCGCACAGACUGACAAUCUCGGCACAAAGAGGAGACAGCCAAGGUCCGGGCCAGGGACGGGAGCAAGGACAGGGGCGAGGAGACACCCACUCCCCAAGUCUGAGCCCCUCAGUCAACUCACAGGCCGCGGGACCCCCGGGGGAGGGGGUGCGGAGGAGCCGGGCGUCCAGAGAGAGGAAGAGGAGGAGAGAGGGACCGAGGG